UAUUUAUACCAGCUCAUUUACACAGAACUGGAGUGUUCUGUUUUAGUGCAGGUGUAAUUCAAAUGGUAAACAGCAUUGUCUUGGACCAGCUACAACUCUUUCACUUCUACAACAACUGCUGAUAAUUCAAGCUCAUGGCAUGAUCAUCAACUUCUAUAGCACUACAGCAGCUAGUAUCAGGCUCUCGGGUGUUGGUGUAUUUUAUGUCUGAACGGGGAGCAUCAGACUCACAGAUUAUUUCAGGCUGGAGUUUUGGGACA
Molecule: long non-coding RNA, 260 nt
Organism: Strigops habroptila (Kakapo)
Lineage: Eukaryota; Metazoa; Chordata; Aves; Psittaciformes; Psittacidae
Exons: 2
Source: RefSeq, a predicted model, not a curated record